UACGAAGGGUGCUAGCGUUGCUCGGAAUCACUGGGCGUAAAGCGCACGUAGGCGGAUUCUUAAGUCGGUGGUGAAAUCCUGGAGCUCAACUCCAGAACUGCCUUCGAUACUGAGAGUCUUGAGUUCGGGAGAGGUGAGUGGAACUGCGAGUGUAGAGGUGAAAUUCGUAGAUAUCGUGAGGAAGACCAGUGGCGAAGGCGGAUCUCUGGACAGUUCCUGACACUGAGGCACGAAGGCCAGGGGAGCAAACGGG
Molecule: ribosomal RNA, 253 nt
Filed under: uncultured bacterium
Lineage: Bacteria
Description: partial 16S ribosomal RNA
Rfam family: Bacterial small subunit ribosomal RNA
Source: RNAcentral